UACAGAGGGGGCAAGCGUUGUUCGGAAUUACUGGGCGUAAAGGGCGCGUAGGCGGCCUGUUAAGUCGAACGUGAAAUCCCUGGGCUCAACCCAGGAACUGCGUCCGAUACUGGCAGGCUUGAAUCCGGGAGAGGGAUGUGGAAUUCCAGGUGUAGCGGUGAAAUGCGUAGAUAUCCGGAGGAACACCGGUGGCGAAGGCGGCUUCCUGGACCGACACUGACGCUGAGGCGCGAAAGCUAGGGGAGCAAACGGG
This 253-nucleotide ribosomal RNA is filed under the name uncultured bacterium. RNAcentral describes it as "partial 16S ribosomal RNA". It matches the Rfam family "Bacterial small subunit ribosomal RNA", at positions 524 to 776 of the family's 1533-position model. The record is from RNAcentral.